CCUAACACAUGCAAGUCGAACGGGUAACAGGAAGCAGCUUGCUGCUUUGCUGACGAGUGGCGGACGGGUGAGUAAUGUCUGGGAAACUGCCUGAUGGAGGGGGAUAACUACUGGAAACGGUAGCUAAUACCGCAUAACGUCGCAAGACCAAAGAGGGGGACCUUCGGGCCUCUUGCCAUCGGAUGUGCCCAGAUGGGAUUAGCUUGUUGGUGGGGUAACGGCUCACCAAGGCGACGAUCCCUAGCUGGUCUGAGAGGAUGACCAGCCACACUGGAACUGAGACACGGUCCAGACUCCUACGGGAGGCAGCAGUGGGGAAUAUUGCACAAUGGGCGCAAGCCUGAUGCAGCCAUGCCGCGUGUAUGAAGAAGGCCUUCGGGUUGUAAAGUACUUUCAGCGGGGAGGAAGGGAGUAAAGUUAAUACCUUUACUCAUUGACGUUACCCGCAGAAGAAGCACCGGCUAACUCCGUGCCAGCAGCCGCGGUAAUACGGAGGGUGCAAGCGUUAAUCGGAAUUACUGGGCGUAAAGCGCACGCAGGCGGGUUGUUAAGUCAGAUGUGAAAUCCCCGGGCUCAACCUGGGAACUGCAUCUGAUACUGGCAAGCUUGAGUCUCG
This 616-nucleotide ribosomal RNA is filed under the name uncultured Pseudomonadota bacterium. RNAcentral's name for it is "bacterial SSU rRNA". It matches the Rfam family "Bacterial small subunit ribosomal RNA", at positions 47 to 651 of the family's 1533-position model. The record is from RNAcentral. Lineage: Bacteria; Pseudomonadati; Pseudomonadota.